CCUACGGGAGGCAGCAGUAGGGAAUAUUGCUCAAUGGGGGAAACCCUGAAGCAGCAACGCCGCGUGGAGGAUGAAGGUUUUCGGAUUGUAAACUCCUUUUGUUAGAGAAGAUAAUGACGGUAUCUAACGAAUAAGCACCGGCUAACUCCGUGCCAGCAGCCGCGGUAAUACGGAGGGUGCAAGCGUUACUCGGAAUCACUGGGCGUAAAGAGCGCGUAGGCGGGAUAGCAAGUCAGAUGUGAAAUCCUAUGGGUUAACCAUAGAACUGCAUUUGAAACUGUUAUUCUAGAGUAUGGGAGAGGUAGGUGGAAUGCUUGGUGUAGGAGUAAAAUCCGUAGAGAUCAAGAGGAAUACUCAUUGCGAAGGCGACCUGCUAGAACAUAACUGACGCUGAUGCGCGAAAGCGUGGGGAGCAAACAGGAUUAGAUACCCCGGUAGUC
RNAcentral lists this ribosomal RNA (440 nucleotides) under uncultured bacterium. Its description in RNAcentral is "partial 16S ribosomal RNA". It matches the Rfam family "Bacterial small subunit ribosomal RNA", at positions 338 to 795 of the family's 1533-position model. The record is from RNAcentral.